GACGAACGCUGGCGGCGUGCUUAACACAUGCAAGUCGAACGGAAAGGCCCUGCUUUUGUGGGGUGCUCGAGUGGCGAACGGGUGAGUAACACGUGAGUAACCUGCCCUUGACUUUGGGAUAACUUCAGGAAACUGGGGCUAAUACCGGAUAGGAGCUCCUGCUUCAUGGUGGGGGUUGGAAAGUUUCGGCGGUUGGGGAUGGACUCGCGGCUUAUCAGCUUGUUGGUGGGGUAGUGGCUUACCAAGGCUUUGACGGGUAGCCGGCCUGAGAGGGUGAGCGGCCACAUUGGGACUGAGAUACGGCCCAGACUCCUACGGGAGGCAGCAGUGGGGAAUAUUGCACAAUGGGCGGAAGCCUGAUGCAGCAACGCCGCGUGCGGGAUGACGGCCUUCGGGUUGUAAACCGCUUUCGCCUGUGACGAAGCGUGAGUGACGGUAAUGGGUAAAGAAGCACCGGCUAACUACGUG
This 468-nucleotide ribosomal RNA is filed under the name uncultured bacterium. RNAcentral describes it as "partial 16S ribosomal RNA". It matches the Rfam family "Bacterial small subunit ribosomal RNA", at positions 28 to 507 of the family's 1533-position model. The record is from RNAcentral.